This 301-nucleotide ribosomal RNA is filed under the name uncultured bacterium. RNAcentral describes it as "partial 16S ribosomal RNA". It matches the Rfam family "Bacterial small subunit ribosomal RNA", at positions 509 to 807 of the family's 1533-position model. The record is from RNAcentral.
CAGUAGCCGCGGGAAUACGUAGGGUGCGAGCGUUAAUCGGAAUUACUGGGCGUAAAGCGUGCGCAGGCGGUUCGUUAAGACAGAUGUGAAAUCCCCGGGCUUAACCUGGGAGCUGCAUUUGUGACUGGCGAGCUAGAGUAUGGCAGAGGGGGGUAGAAUUCCACGUGUAGCAGUGAAAUGCGUAGAGAUGUGGAGGAAUACCGAUGGCGAAGGCAGCCCCCUGGGCCAAUACUGACGCUCAUGCACGAAAGCGUGGGGAGCAAACAGGAUUAGAUACCCCUGUAGUCCCUGUCUCUUAUAC